RNAcentral lists this long non-coding RNA (203 nucleotides) under Nicotiana benthamiana. Its description in RNAcentral is "long non-coding RNA (NBEN_LNC000098)". The record is from RNAcentral. Lineage: Eukaryota; Viridiplantae; Streptophyta; Magnoliopsida; Solanales; Solanaceae.
AGAAAUUGGCUUGAAACAGAAUGUUUUUGAAAUUUCAGAAAAUCACUGACAAUCGAUUGUUGUAUUUGACAAUCGAUUGUGUACUGGGCAAAAAAAAUGGUCUAAGUCCUAAAAAUUGAUUUUGGAAGUAUGGUAAUCAGUUUUGAAUAUAUUAUAAUCAAUUUUGGAAUUAUGACAAUUGAUUAUGAAUGAAACAACGUCAU